Halichondria panicea is the source of this 1551-nucleotide long non-coding RNA. RefSeq lists it as uncharacterized. The record is from RefSeq and is a predicted model, not a curated record. NCBI's taxonomy places the organism in Eukaryota, Metazoa, Porifera, Demospongiae, Suberitida, Halichondriidae. The transcript is spliced from 2 exons.
UACUGUAUGGUUGAUGUGUUGAGAUUAGGCUACAAGGUUUUGAGGGCAAACAGAGAAAUGUGAUUUCUCUUUUUAAUCAUUCAAUGGUUCAGGGACUCUUUCAGCUGCCAUAACUUGAAUUCUGUGUAUUCAAUUUCAACGGUUUUAUGAUUUUAGAAAGAGGCCAUCUAGCAAAGAUCGUGAUGUCAUACAAUAUAGGUCUUUGCAAUCUUAUUUGUGAAGCCAUUAGCAUUCGCAAACUUACAUAAUUAUGUGGAAACAUUGUAUAAAUACGGUACAUGUUAGUGUGUGUAUGGUAGAUUGGAUUGGAUCUGUACAGGCUAUGGGAAGUGUAUGGUGCCUCUUAACUGCUACUUGCGAAGACAACCCGGCUAUAGGACCAUCCUAGACGUACAUGUAGUAGAUGAGAGCCUUAAAAUUAGUGUUCAAGCUAUUAGUUUUGCUACACACACACCGUCCCUGAGGGCCUCCCACCCACCCAUACACACACACACACACCCUCUCUGAGGGCCUCCCACCCACACACACACACACACACACACACACACACAGAUUGCGUACACUGGUGUCCCCCCCACACACACACACACACACACACACACACACACACACACACACACACACACACACACACACACAGAUUGCGUACACUGGUGUCCCACACACACACACACACACACACACACACACACACACACACACACACACACACACACAGAUUGCGUACACUGGUGUCCCACACACACACACACACACACACACACACACACACACACACACACACACACACACACACACACAGAUUGCGUACACUGGUGUCCCACACACACACACACACACACACACACACACACACACACCCUCCUCCCCCAUACACACACCACACACACACACGUACACACACACAGACACACACACGCACACGCGCACACACACAUACACACACACACACACAGCUUGCGUACACUGGUGUCCCAUACUUCCUGGCAGAGUUUGAUGAUGGGAGAAAUGUGUUCACAAGACCAUUUUCUUACCAACUCACGCAGACAAACAACCAGAUCACUGAAUAUAGGUUAUAGUAUGUUUCUACUACUGUGAGCUCAUGAGGUAAACAGCACUCUCAAGUGAGUAGGUAAGAACAUAUUCGUGAGUCUCGUCACACCGACAAUGCACACCUCUAACCUUUCUAUUGCAUACUCAGCAAAUGUCUCUUCCACAAAUCUGUCAUCAUACCUAUCGAGUGAACACACAAACUGUUCUAGUUCCUGGAACAAUACGUACGGACGUCUCUCUCCAAUUUGGAAGGGAGGUGUUGGCUGCUCCUCUCGUUCUGAAUCUGCCCAAUUGGAUCAACUGGAAGUCGUGUCUGGCAACAAAGGACAAGGAGACGAAAGCUGCUCUAGAAAUGAGGAAGAACUUUGAACCAUGUUAUUUUGAUUUCACAUGCAACUGACAACGAUGAUUAAUUUCUUUAUUUUCACUUUUACUUUUGUAUAAUUGAUGUUUUGUGUAUUAGCUAGUUGUCCAAUAAUAAUUAUGGUUGGCCAUAUA